RNAcentral lists this non-coding RNA (45 nucleotides) under Trichobilharzia regenti. Lineage: Eukaryota; Metazoa; Platyhelminthes; Trematoda; Strigeidida; Schistosomatidae. The record is from RNAcentral.
AUCCAGCUGACGAGUCUCAAAUAGAACGAAAUGCGCAUCCUGGAU